GGCGCCGAGGCUGAGCUAGAAUCUCGGUUCUCCAAGGACCCAGGCGGCCAGGAACCCAGGGCGCGGCAGGAAAAGUGGUUGGGAGUGACGCAUCGUGGGCCAGGGGAGCCGUCUGACCACAGCCGCUCAGAGGAUGUGAGACAUGAGGGCACUGCAAUAGCCCCGCGCCUGCAACAGGGGGACGAGCAUGGCUGGCCCUGCGGGGGCCACUGCCCCCACGCAGGUGGGAAGCAGCUAAAGGACCUGUCCCAGAGCCCUCGGGCUGCUGCUUCAUCCUGAAGACUUGUAAGGUGGCGGCAGUCGCCCCCUGGGUAUUGCCAGAGGGUUUUUGGCUCCAAGGGCUCCACAGCUUCCCAGCCCGGAUCCCAAGGCCCGCAAACCACCCUCAACACCUGCGCCAGACCGCACGCUCCACGCUCCGUACUUCUGAGCUUCCGAAAUGUUUCUAAAAACCAAACAAAACCAGACACUGGCCCUGGUGCUGCCUCCUUGAUGCCAUCCUGAUGUGUCAAUUCACUCCUCCCGCAGGUGCCAUGGUUUCAGUCACAGGGGCACCUACCCUCCUCCGCCACGUCCCCCCUACCUCCAGAUUCCCAUCACACUGUCAGCCUCCAAGUCCUGUCCCAGGGACCCUCCUCCGCAGCCAGCAGACUGGUGAGGACCUGCAUCCACUCCAUGCUGCUCUCAGAGGCUCCCUCUGCACUACCCAGCUGUGCUCAGCCUCCCGAGCCCAGGCCUCCACCUUGGGGAGGCCGGAGCCUCCUUGCCUCUCUGCCUCCCCAUGGACCUGCCCCUCUGCUUCCACUGGGGCCUCAGGAUGCUCCUUUCUGCUGCCUGUCCUGUGACCCCUGCCCCACAUAGCAAACUUUUCCACUUUUCUUUGUUAAAAUAAUUAAGCAUGAAUAUUAAGAACAAUGUUUUUAUGUCAAGUGCGCUGUAAUGACAGUUGAUCGGGGGGGAAGGCUUAGCGCUCCUCUGAAUCCCAAGCUUCACAAACCUGGUCUCCCAGCACCACUGGGGACUGAGGACAGGCCUGGGAAGGAUCACCUUGGGUCCAGAACGUUCUCCCCAUCCGGCUCUUGCUGUCCCGAUGGCUUCUCCUGCUCUUUCCUGGUUCCUCAUCUUGGUGUUCCUUGUACCUCCCACACCUCCCCAUUUCCAACAGGACAAAACCCAAACCUGUUGCUACAGGGCUUCAUG
Bos indicus x Bos taurus (hybrid cattle) is the source of this 1200-nucleotide long non-coding RNA. The record is from Ensembl. NCBI's taxonomy places the organism in Eukaryota, Metazoa, Chordata, Mammalia, Artiodactyla, Bovidae.